Long non-coding RNA from Piliocolobus tephrosceles (Ugandan red Colobus), 1892 nucleotides. RefSeq lists it as uncharacterized. The transcript has 4 exons. The record is from RefSeq and is a predicted model, not a curated record. NCBI's taxonomy places the organism in Eukaryota, Metazoa, Chordata, Mammalia, Primates, Cercopithecidae.
CAGCUUCUGUGAUGAUCCCAAGUGGAAUAACUGUUUAAGGUGUGGAUUCUGACUCAGAGGAGUUUACAAUCUAUCCUGGAGAAGUGAAUAAAACCCAAGAACAGAGGAACAUACAAACACAUGAUAAGAGGUUAUUUUUCCCCUUCCUGUGAAUUUGGAUAGCGAGCCAAAGGAAAAGAAACUUCAACAAGAAGUCUGGCUCAAAUCACUCCAGGGCCAGACUGCACCUUUUACAACAUUUCUAAUAAAUCAUGAGGAAAAAGAAAUCUCUGCCAUAGUAGCACAUUUGACAAACUGAAAUUAAAUUUUGCCAACUCUGGAGACACCAAGGUUGGCACCCAGGGCUAUGGUGCUGUGAGCUGGGUCACUAGGGCUGCUCAAAAAAGGGAACCCAGAAGCCUGGCAUGCUGGCAAAAGGAGUUAAGAAAAAUCUUCUGUUGAGCUAUUUACAGCUUGAAGCAGUUAAGUAAAGUAUACUCCUGCAAACAAAAUUUGGAACAUAUUUUUUUCCUUCUACCUGAUUUCUAAAUUUGGAAGUUAGUUGUAUUCUUAACUUACGGCAAUAUAGUUAUUUGCAUAAGUGCAAUACGAAUCUAUUUUCUUUUGUAACACGACCCAAUUGGAGAAACUGGUUAUUUUACCAAGGCUUUGACUGGGAUGGCAUGCUUUCUUUAAGGAAUCAAACUUACAGAGCUAAUAAAAGCCCCUUGGGAAACUGGCCUCAUACCUUCUCUACACAGUCCCUGUACAGGGUUCCUGACCUGUGGUAAGUAAAGAAUGUCACUUUCUGACACGUCCAGGAGCCCAUGUCAUCUUGGGACCUCAAAAGGACAGGAAUUUACCCAACUCAUAGGUAUUUGAGGGUACAAACCCACAGCAGGGCUUGGCUUUUAAAAAGCCUUAUCUGAGAUUACUUAUGGAACAGAGUUUCAUCAAAGCCAAUUUUAAAAGCCUCUGUGAAAUAAAUAUUCUUGCUGCACUUUAUACAAGUAAUCAGGCCAAGUAUAAUAAAGUAAAUCAGUCUUACCAUGAUUUGUCUUUAGUAAAAAUGGAAAAUCGGAGAGGGAAAAAUUAUGUUUCAAGAACUAUGGUAUACCUGUUAUUAAAUUCCAGUCUCAUCAGUUGUUUUUAAGUUUUUAAGUUUUUUUCCUGCAUUGUAGGCUGACCCUGCUUAUUCCUGUAAACCAACCAGUGAUUGGUUGCUUCUUCUGGCUGCUACUCAGAAGAAACAAGACUGGGUAAUGUAAAAAUCUGGAUUGGAUCAAUAUUCUAAUCCUGGACAUAUACUGGAAUCAUCUAGCAACUCCAUAUCAGCUUGGUUCCAAAAAUUGCCCAGUUCAUGGAAACCCUUCUAAUUUAGUUUACAUGGGAUGAUUUUGCUUAUUUCGUUAUGUUGCUGCUGGACUCUCUGUGUAGGAAUGCAGAAUAAGCUUGCUCAAUGUUUUCUUAAAUGGAACACUUAUCACUCUUCCAGAUACCACCUUUUGUUGGAACUCAAGAGUUAUAAAUGGCCCUUGACAUGCCAAAGCUUUCUGACUGGGCUGCUCUCUACCCUGAAUACAAGAGACCUUCAUAGUUUGGCAGAAAUAUCAUCACCUCUAUUCAGCAUGAAGAAGUUACAGAAGAUGGAUCUUCGUCCCUCUACAUCCCUUAGGAUUAAGGGUUCUCUUAUAAAAGGGAGUUGGGAAACAUCAGAGGUGUUUAAACCAGAGCAACUCCAUCUUGAACAGGGGCCGGGUAAAAUAAGGCUAAGACCUGUUGAGCUGCAUUCCCAGUAAGUGAAGGCAUUCUUAAUCACAGUAUGAGAUAGGGGGUCGACACAAGAGGCAGGUCAUAAAGACCUUGUUGAUAAAACAGUUUGCAAUAAAGAAGCUGGCCAAAACCCACCCAAA